GGUGAGUACAGAAAGUUAGACCAGAUCGAACCAUAACAUAUGUAGGACUGGCGAUGGUUUCUGAUAUAAGAAUUUCAGCUUUUCAUACAGUGGAUUAAAAGCAUGGCAAAAUAGGGAAGAGAAAUAAACAUUUCACAAGUUUUUGAUACUUACAGAAGCAUGUUGAAUACUUUGAUGGCUUUUGACCAUGGCCUUCCUUAAUGAUUUGCUUUUUUACUUCUUCAUGAAGAAUUUCCAUAUCAGAUUCAACUUUCGGAGGUCCAGCAGCAUCUUGAGGUGGUUCCCCAUGCACAAAUGCAGUAUUUUCAGUAACUAUUUCAUUCUCCUCAACAAUUUCCAUAUCAGAUUCAACUUUCGGAGGUCCAGCAGCAUCUUGAGGUGGUUUCCCAUGCACAAAUGCAGUAUUUUCAGUACCUAUUUCAUUCUUAUCAUCUUCACCUGAGAUGAACAUACUUAUAAACUUCGUUACCCGGACUCGGCAAUUUGGGGUGCAGUACCUGUGCCGACACGAUCCGACACGGGAUACGG
This 528-nucleotide long non-coding RNA is filed under the name Gossypium raimondii (Peruvian cotton). Its description in RNAcentral is "long non-coding RNA (GRAI_LNC000099)". Lineage: Eukaryota; Viridiplantae; Streptophyta; Magnoliopsida; Malvales; Malvaceae. The record is from RNAcentral.